This 253-nucleotide ribosomal RNA is filed under the name uncultured bacterium. RNAcentral's name for it is "partial 16S ribosomal RNA". It matches the Rfam family "Bacterial small subunit ribosomal RNA", at positions 524 to 776 of the family's 1533-position model. The record is from RNAcentral.
UACGUAGGCAGCAAGCGUUGUUCGGAGUUACUGGGCGUAAAGGGUGCGUAGGCGGUCCCUUAAGUUCGGUGUGAAAUCUCCCGGCUCAACUGGGAGGGUGCGCCGGAAACUGAGGGACUCGAGUGCGGGAGGGGAGAGCGGAAUUCUUGGUGUAGCGGUGAAAUGCGUAGAUAUCAGGAGGAACACCGGUGGUGCAGACGGCUCUCUGGACCGUAACUGACGCUGAGGCACGAAAGCGUGGGUAGCAAACAGG